AGAGAGGUGGCCGAGUGGUCGAAGGCGCACGCCUGGAAAGUGUGUAUAUGGUAAUGUAUCGAGGGUUCGAAUCCCUUCCUCUCUGCAA
Molecule: transfer RNA, 88 nt
Filed under: Myroides guanonis
Lineage: Bacteria; Pseudomonadati; Bacteroidota; Flavobacteriia; Flavobacteriales; Flavobacteriaceae
Description: tRNA_Ser_GGA
Rfam family: tRNA
About the family: Transfer RNA (tRNA) molecules are approximately 80 nucleotides in length. Their secondary structure includes four short double-helical elements and three loops (D, anti-codon, and T loops).
Source: RNAcentral